GACGAACGCUGGCGGCGUGCAUAAAACAUGCAAGUCGAACGGGCCAAAGCCGCAAGGCCGAGGUCAGUGGCGAACGGCUGAGUAACACGUAGGUGACCUGCCCUGAAGUGGGGGACAACUCCUCGAAAGAGGGGCUAAUACCGCAUGUGAUCACCAGUUCAUUCGGGUGAUCAAAGGCGCAAGCCGCUUCAGGAGGGGCCUGCGGCGGAUCAGCUAGUUGGUGGGGUAACGGCUCACCAAGGCAAGGAUCCGUAGCUGGUCUGAGAGGAUGGCCAGCCAGACUGGGACUGAGACACGGCCCAGACUCCUACGGGAGGCAGCAGUUAGGGAUCUUGUGCAAUGGGGGAAACCCUGACACAGCAACGCCGCGUGAGGGAUGAAGGCCUUCGGGUCGUAAACCUCUUUUCUGAGGGAAGAAACCUGACGGUACCUCAGGAAUAAGCAACGGCUAACUACGUGCCAGCAGCCGCGGUAAUACGUAGGUUGCGAGCGUUGUCCGGAAUCACUGGGCGUAAAGCGCACGCAGGCGGCUCCGCAAGCCUAUGGUGAAAGCCCUCGGCCCAACCGAGGGAGGCCCAUGGGAACUGCGGGGCUCAGAAGACGGGAGAGGCGGAUGGAAUUUCCGGUGUAGCGGUAAAAUGCGUAGAUACCGGAAGGAACACCAGUGGCGAAAGCGAUCCGCUGGCCCGCUCUUGACGCUCAGGUGCGAAAGCUAGGGUAGCGACCGGGAUUAGAUACCCCGUUAGUCCUAGCCGUAAACGAUGGGCACUAGGUGUUGUCGGUAUCGACCCCGGCAGUGCCGAAGCUAACGCAUUAAGUGCCCCGCCUGGGGAGUACGGCCGCAAGGCUAAAACUCAAAGGAAUUGACGGGGGUCCGCACAAGCAGCGGAGCGUGCGGUUCAAUUCGAUGGUACGCGAAGAACCUUACCCAGGCUUUACAUGCAGGUGGUAGCGACCCGAAAGGGAAGCGACCCGCAAGGGAGCCUGCAAUGGUGUUGCACGGCUGUCGUCAGCUCGUGUCGUGAGAUGUUGGGUUAAGUCCCGCAACGAGCGCAACCCUCACCGCCUGUUGUAUCCCUCAGGCGGGACUGCCGAGAGAAACUCGGAGGAAGGUGGGGAUGAGGUCAAGUCCGCGUGGCCCUUAUGCCUGGGCUACACGCACGCUACAAUCGCCGGUCACAGCGGGUCGCAACUGCGCGAGCAGGAGCUAAUCCCUCAAAACCGGCGUCAGUUCAGAUCGGAGGCUGAAACUCGCCUCCGUGAAGUCGGAGUUGCUAGUAACCGCGGGUCAGCACACCGCGGUGAAUAUGUUCCCGGACCUUGUACACACCGCCCGUCAAGUGAUGGGAGUCGGAAGCACCCGAAGCCGGUGGGCCAACCGCAAGGAGGCAGCCGUCGAAGGUGAGGCCGGCGACUGG
Molecule: ribosomal RNA, 1418 nt
Filed under: uncultured Chloroflexota bacterium
Lineage: Bacteria; Bacillati; Chloroflexota
Description: uncultured Chloroflexi bacterium 16S ribosomal RNA
Rfam family: Bacterial small subunit ribosomal RNA
Source: RNAcentral